Molecule: non-coding RNA, 229 nt
Organism: Cinara cedri
Lineage: Eukaryota; Metazoa; Arthropoda; Insecta; Hemiptera; Aphididae
Source: the annotation of a GenBank genome assembly
CUCAUAUAAUUCGAUUAAAUUAAUUAUUUUUUCUUUGGACCACUUUUCACUCAUUUUGUGACUUGGUAGUCGGUAUAUUAUUUAAAACUAUAUAAAUAAAAAAUACCACUCUCCGUGUGUGGUGCCACGCGCAGACUGAUUUGAAUUUAUAGAAAUUAUACAUCAGUUAUAACAAAAUAUGUAUUUAUAAACGCGAUAUUAUGACAUUAUCUCUCUAUAUAGUCUGGAA